RNAcentral lists this ribosomal RNA (373 nucleotides) under uncultured organism. RNAcentral's name for it is "bacterial SSU rRNA". It matches the Rfam family "Bacterial small subunit ribosomal RNA", at positions 526 to 897 of the family's 1533-position model. The record is from RNAcentral.
CGUAGGGUGCGAGCGUUAAUCGGAAUUACUGGGCGUAAAGUGUGCGCAGGCGGCGCUGCAAGUCGAGUGUGAAAUCCCCGAGCUUAACUUGGGAAUUGCGCUCGAAACUACGGCGCUGGAGUAUGGCAGAGGAAGGUGGAAUUCCACGUGUAGCGGUGAAAUGCGUAGAGAUGUGGAGGAACACCGAUGGCGAAGGCAGCCUUCUGGGCCAAUACUGACGCUCAUGCACGAAAGCGUGGGGAGCAAACAGGAUUAGAUACCCUGGUAGUCCACGCCCUAAACGAUGAUGAUUAGUUGUUGGAGGAGUUAAAUCCUUUAGUAACGCAGCUAACGCGUGAAGUCAUCCGCCUGGGGAGUACGGUCGCAAGAUUAA